RNAcentral lists this long non-coding RNA (1991 nucleotides) under Homo sapiens (human). Its description in RNAcentral is "non-protein coding lnc-AMELY-8:1". Lineage: Eukaryota; Metazoa; Chordata; Mammalia; Primates; Hominidae. The record is from RNAcentral.
AGGGAGGAUUUGGAUAUAUCACAGAAACCAACAUCCAGUUGAUGUGACGACUCUUCUAGAGUCCUUCCCACAAGGAAGAUUGUGACAUUUCACUGGUCCUGAACCCACUCAGGUGAAGUGACUUUGCUUUCUUCUCCUUGACAACAGGUGAUGUGGUGCCAAAUACCUGAGACCAAAUCAAAGGCCUUAUGAUGACUCUUGUACCUGGAGCCAGGAGGAGCAGGCUGGUGACUCUCAUCCCUGAUUAUUUCCAUGGGUGUUAUUGUGACAUUUACCUUUGCCCACCUGUUGAGUGAUUUGAUAAUUUUUCCUAGUAAUAGCCCACAGAUGACAUUUUAAAUUAUACCUGGGUCAAAAACCUCACUUAUUUUACUCUUGUGUCUUAACAGUGUCCUCAAAUAGGAUUCUAACAUAUCUUUGGACCCAUCAUCUAGGUUAUGUGACUCUCCUCUCCUGCAUGAACACUGCUUCCAAUGAAGAGUGUAGAGUUUGUAAGCACUGAAUCCAAAUGGCCUGAUUUUAUUGUCUAGGCCUUUCAACAGGAGGCAAUGUGACAUACGUCUGGCACCAUCAUUUAGGUGAUAUGACUCUCUUCUCCUGCCUGGACAGUCUCCACAAGAAGCAUUAUGUCAUACAGCUGGGCCCAGUGCCCAAGUUUUGUGACUUUUCUAUUACACGUCUGUAAAGAAAAUAUUGGAAUAUUUCUGGCUUAGAAUUUAUGUGAUGUGUUUGUCCUGCUUGUUUAAGAACCACAGAGGUGAAGUUGACAUAUACCUAUGCACAGCUAACAGGCAUGAUAAUGACUGUCAUAUGUGGAUCAAGCCAAUAGAAAUUUUGCCUUUGCCAAGCACCUGUGUGAUUUCACUCUUCAGACUGGAUGCUGCUGUAUAUGAGACUUUGAUAUCUACUUGGACCAAACUUGGAGUGAUGUGACACUUCUGCCUGGGCCCUGCUCUCAGAUUAUGACAUGUACCUAGUUUCGGAUCAAAGCAUGCUGAUCAAGCUUAUAUUGGGAUACAGUGAAUAGGAGAUAUUUCACCUGUCACCACUUUGUUUACAUCAAAAGGGGGAAUCUUGAUAAAUCACUAAAAUCGGCAUCCUGGUGAUUUGACUCUUCUUCCAUUGUCCUGCCCACAAGAAGGAUUGUGACAUCUUACUGGACCAGCACCCACCUAGAGAGACCGGGUUUCACCAUGGUGCCUAGGCUGGUCUCAAACUUCUGGGCUCAAGCGAUGCGUCUUCCUAGGCCUCCCAAAGUGCUGGGAUUAUAGGCAUGAGCCACCACGCCUGGCCAGAAUCCAAUCAUUAGUGUCUUUGGGUGAUUUGGAAAAUGACAGUCUGCUUAUGAAGUACGUUUGAAGACAGCAAAAACAGAGCUCCCUGGAUCCUCAACAGUAAGGCUGACCUCCCUGUGUGACCUGCCCACCCAACUCCUGGAGCUGUACCAACAGGGCUUCUCUCUGGCAGCCAUGCACCCCUUUGUGCAGCCCACCCAUGGACAGGAGAAGACACCCCUGGAGCAUAUCUUUAGGGCCAUCCUCAUCAAGAAAACCGACAGAUCUGCAACUUGGGCAGGACUUGGCAGAGGCACCUAAUCUCCAUUUCUCAUGGUAUCAACUGGUAGUUUGGUGGUAGCUAGGGGAUCUGCUUUCAAGAUGAAACACUCACAUGGCUGGCAAGUUGGUGUUUACUGUAGGCCUCUCCACAGACUGCUAUUCCUCAAAACAUGGCAACUGAGUUCUAAGAGCAAACAUCACAAGAGAAGAAGGGAAAAGUUCAUGGAAUGUUGAUGACUAUCCUGUGGAAGUCACAUAAUGGUCUUUUUCAGCUACUCAUUGGUUGAGGCCAUCAUAAAGACCUAUAGUGGUUCAAGUAGAGGGGACAUGGGUUCCAACUCUUGAUGGAGGAAUGGCAAAGUUCUAGCAGACCAUGUGGAACAAGAGAUAUUGUUGUGGCCAUCUUUGGAAAAUAAAGUCUGCCACAUACAUGAA